UAAUCAAACCAGGCACCAAAAUGCUAACACUCCUUCCUGGAGAAAGAAAGGCUAAUAUUUAUUUUACUCAAAGAAGAGCUCCAUCUACAGGCAUUCACCAGAGAAGCAUUGCUUCCUUCUUCACCUUGCAGCCAGAUGUGUGAGCUUUUAAUCUCUGGCUGAUCUUAACCCACAUCAGCCUAAGCUUGGGAUGAUUACUCUUGACCCUUUUUUUUCAGUGAUUAGCAAAUCUCCCCACAACCCAGGUGUGGAGAGAAGAGAGGUAGAAUGGUGCUAGUUUCCUAUUUUAUUUUUGUGGUAACUGUACAGCACUUUAAAGUUAUAUACUCUAUGUUUAAAUAUCUCCCUUAAAAAGCCUGAGCUGUAUAACAAUCUGGAUGUGACUCUGUUACCCUUUUCCCACAAGAUAGGAGGGAAUCCCCUUUGUAAAACUAUGAAUCCAAAUAAAUGUUUACAAAGUG
RNAcentral lists this small RNA (461 nucleotides) under Pan troglodytes (chimpanzee). Its description in RNAcentral is "processed transcript". Lineage: Eukaryota; Metazoa; Chordata; Mammalia; Primates; Hominidae. The record is from RNAcentral.